Long non-coding RNA from Hyla sarda, 150 nucleotides. RefSeq lists it as uncharacterized. The transcript has 3 exons. Lineage: Eukaryota; Metazoa; Chordata; Amphibia; Anura; Hylidae. The record is from RefSeq and is a predicted model, not a curated record.
AUGACAGCGAGCGGAGCUCUGUGCUUACCUACAAGACAAAUUAGGCCUGAAGCCUACCAAUCCAGAGCCUUACUAAACCAAUGGACCAGCCCAGGACCCACCGGAGGAAAGCCCGGAGCAGCGCGGAAAGGGGAAUGUGCAGAAGUAAAC